GUUUACCAAACACAUGUCUUUUUGAGUUAUAUUAAAAGUCUAACCUGCCCACUGAAUUUUAAAUGGCCGCAGUAUUUUAACUGUGCAAAGGUAGCAUAAUCAUUAGUCUUUUAAUUGAAGGCUGGAAUGAAUGGUUGAAUGAAAUAUUAACUGUUUCAUAUAAAUUUAUAAUAGAAUUUUAUUUUUUAGUUAAAAAGCUAAAAUUUAAUUAAAAGACGAGAAGACCCUAUAAAUCUUUAUAUUUUAUUGGGGUGAUAUUAGAAUUUAAAAAACUUUUAAUUUAUAUUAUACAUUAAUUAAUGAUUUAUUGAUCCAUAAAUUAUGAUUAAAAAUUUAAGUUACUUUAGGGAUAACAGCGUAAUUUUUUUUGAGAGUUCAUAUUGAUAAAAAAGAUUGCGACCUCGAUGU
Molecule: ribosomal RNA, 408 nt
Filed under: Apocephalus arizonensis
Lineage: Eukaryota; Metazoa; Arthropoda; Insecta; Diptera; Phoridae
Description: partial 16S ribosomal RNA
Rfam family: Bacterial large subunit ribosomal RNA
Source: RNAcentral